UGAUAAGAAGAGGACUUAAA
This 20-nucleotide transfer RNA is filed under the name Boana albopunctata (spotted treefrog). RNAcentral describes it as "partial tRNA-Tyr". The record is from RNAcentral. Lineage: Eukaryota; Metazoa; Chordata; Amphibia; Anura; Hylidae.